GAUGAACGCUGGCGGCGUGCCUAAUACAUGCAAGUCGAGCGAAUGGAUUAAGAGCUUGCUCUUAUGAAGUUAGCGGCGGACGGGCGAGUAACACGUGGGUAACCUGCCCAUAAGACUGGGAUAACUCCGGGAAACCGGGGCUAAUACCGGAUAAUAUUUUGAACCGCAUGGUUCAAAAUUGAAAGGCGGCUUCGGCUGUCACUUAAGGAUGGACCCGCGUCGCAUUAGCCAGUUGGUGAGGUAACGGCUCACCAAGGCAACGAUGCGUAGCCGACCUGAGAGGGUGAUCGGCCACACUGGGACUGAGACACGGCCCAGACUCCUACGGGAGGCAGCAGUAGGGAAUCUUCCGCAAUGGACGGAAGUCUGACGGAGCAACGCCGCGUGAGUGAUGAAGGCUUUCGGGUCGUAAAACUCUGUUGUUAGGGAAGAACAAGUGCUAGUUGAAUAAGCUGGCACCUUGACGGUACCUAACCAGAAAGCCACGGCUAACUACGUGCCAGCCGCCGCAGUAA
Molecule: ribosomal RNA, 515 nt
Filed under: uncultured bacterium
Lineage: Bacteria
Description: partial 16S ribosomal RNA
Rfam family: Bacterial small subunit ribosomal RNA
Source: RNAcentral